This 440-nucleotide ribosomal RNA is filed under the name uncultured bacterium. RNAcentral's name for it is "partial 16S ribosomal RNA". It matches the Rfam family "Bacterial small subunit ribosomal RNA", at positions 338 to 795 of the family's 1533-position model. The record is from RNAcentral.
CCUACGGGUGACAGCAGUGGGGGAUAUUGCACAAUGGGGGAAACCCUGAUGCAGCGACGCCGCGUGAGUGAAGAAGGAUUUCGGUAGGUAAAGCUGUAUCAGCAGGGAAGAAAAUGACAGUAACUGAACAAGAAGCCCCGGCUAACGCCGUGCCAGCAGCCGCGGUAACACGGAGGGGGCAAGCGUGAUCCGGAUGUACUGGGUGUAACGGGAGCGUAGACGGUUUUGUAAGGCUGGAGUGAAAGCCCGGGGCCCAACCCCGGGACUGCUUUGGAAACUGUGUAACUGGAGUACAGGAGGGGCAGGCGGAAUUCCUGGUGUAGCGGUGAAAUGCGUAGAUAUCAGGUGGAACCCCGGCGGCGAAGGCGGCCUGCUGGACUGAAACUGACGUUGAGGCUCGAAAGCGUGGGGAGCAAACAGGAUUAGAUACCCCAGUAGUC